Molecule: ribosomal RNA, 119 nt
Filed under: Merluccius paradoxus (deep-water Cape hake)
Lineage: Eukaryota; Metazoa; Chordata; Actinopteri; Gadiformes; Merlucciidae
Description: partial 16S ribosomal RNA
Source: RNAcentral
AUAAGACGAGAAGACCCUGUGGAGCUUUAGACCUAAAAUAAACCACGUUUAAUGUACUAUGUCAAUAGCAAAAACUUAGUGGACAAUUAUUAAAGUGUCUUUGGUUGGGGCGACCGCGG